RNAcentral lists this ribosomal RNA (347 nucleotides) under uncultured bacterium. RNAcentral describes it as "bacterial SSU rRNA". It matches the Rfam family "Bacterial small subunit ribosomal RNA", at positions 917 to 1267 of the family's 1533-position model. The record is from RNAcentral.
GGGCCCGCACAAGCGGUGGAGCAUGUGGUUUAAUUCGAUGAUACGCGAGGAACCUUACCAGGGCUUAAAUGCAGUCUGACAGCUUUAGAGAUAGAGUUUUCUUCGGACAGAUUGCAAGGUGCUGCAUGGUUGUCGUCAGCUCGUGCCGUGAGGUGUCAGGUUAAGUCCUAUAACGAGCGCAACCCCUGUUGUUAGUUGCCAGCGAGUAAUGUCGGGAACUCUAGCAAGACUGCCGGUGCAAACCGUGAGGAAGGUGGGGAUGACGUCAAAUCAUCACGGCCCUUACGUCCUGGCUACACACGUGCUACAAUGGUAGGGACAGAGAGCAGCCACUGCGCGAGCAGGAG